AGCAGACACCAAUGUCAAACUUGUUUUGUCAUUUUCACAGUUUUCAUUUCCAUGUACAUCUAAUAUGGUUCGACAAAAGAACUUCAUCAGCCAAGGGAAUGCCACAGUCUUCGGGGAAGAAAACAUGGCUACAUCUGGAGAGAGCUUAAAGAUCUACUAUGACUGCAAAGUAAGAAAGCCCAGAUGGUCCUAUGAUGACUCAACAAUGGAUGACAAGGAAAACACAAGAACACCUUUUUGAGACGAGGUCCACUUUUGAGAACUUUGACUGGAAAUUAUAGUGCUUCAUUUGUGGCGAAAAGUGCAGCCGUCAUAAAGAUAAUACAUCAAGAGGUUUUAGCAGAAGUUGGUCCCUAGGGCCAAACAAAAAAAUUGUGUGUUUCGGGAAACG
Molecule: long non-coding RNA, 391 nt
Organism: Dreissena polymorpha
Lineage: Eukaryota; Metazoa; Mollusca; Bivalvia; Myida; Dreissenidae
Exons: 3
Source: RefSeq, a predicted model, not a curated record